RNAcentral lists this transfer RNA (87 nucleotides) under Bacteroidota bacterium. RNAcentral's name for it is "Bacteroidetes bacterium (hydrothermal vent metagenome) tRNA-Ser". It matches the Rfam family "tRNA". From Rfam's summary of the family: Transfer RNA (tRNA) molecules are approximately 80 nucleotides in length. Their secondary structure includes four short double-helical elements and three loops (D, anti-codon, and T loops). The record is from RNAcentral. Lineage: Bacteria; Pseudomonadati; Bacteroidota.
GGAGAGGUGGCCGAGUGGCUUAAGGCAGCGGCCUGCUAAGCCGUUGUACCGGUUUCGGUACCGUGGGUUCGAAUCCCACCCUCUCCG